UUUCUUUCAACCUGAUGAAAUUUCCCUUUGUAAGUUUGGUGAGUUGGAAAGAAGCUUCUAGGGGACUUUAUGGAACAAGUUGCUUGUGCAACAGAUGAACACUUCAAGCAUUUUCUUUUCUUUCAAUUUUACAUCUCUUCUUUAGGAAUAUAAAAACAUUCUUGCUUGAAUGAUUUUAUCGCACAGAAUUAUCCAAAUGUAAGCACCUUUUAUGCUAAACAGGAAAAUAGUUCCCUUUGAUUGUUUGGAUACUUGACAAUGAUGGAAAUGAAGAAUGCUACUUCUUUUGCAAAAUAGUUGAAGUGUAUGCGUAUGACUACUUCGGUAGCACGUAUAAGUGCAUAUGCAGAUUUCUGUAGACAGAUUUGGAUAUGAUAAUAAAAAUACAGGAUUCUCCAAUGGGAGUGAUUUUUAAUUCUCCUCUGCUGGUGAAAUGCCCUAAUGAGUUUAGAUUGUUGCUCUCCUACAGAUGUAGUUUGAUAUGUAGACAAAGGUUAAACUGAGGUUCAUAGGUUAGUUGGAGAAAGCUGAUGAGGUGAUCUGCAAGGGCUAGUGCUUCAUAAGACAGUUCACAAAUGUAUGCAGAUAUAGACUUAUAGUAAGAAGGGGUAACAUUCUUCCCUCAUUGAAAUGGUUGGGAAAAUAGUUUAUGCUACACAUAUUUACCAACCAUGCAGAUUGUGGUGGUUUUCAACCACACUUUUUGCACUAAAACACGUAGAGUAGUUUCACAGACCAAUGAGCUUUGAAGGAAAUAUAUGCUCAUGUCGGUGUCUGUCAAAAGUUCCAUUUCUAGAUCAAAUUUCCUCCACCAAUAAGUGUAAUGGCAUCUUCAGUUAGAGAGUUGACGUACAAUGGUGAAGGAAAAAUUCAAGCAGUAUUUUCCAAGUUUGUAUGGGAAAAGAGCUUUCUAUGAGAAUGUGAUGUUUCUGGUGUGGAAUAUUCAUUGAGUUGCAACCUACUCAUUGAAUUUAAAAUUUGCUCUGUUUUAAUUAUGACAAGUGAAAUUGAGACAUAUCAUGUGCUGGUUGACAUAGGUAAUGGCAAUAAUUAUUAUCUUUUUAUGUAGAUUAAAGAUCUAUUGCGAUAUAUAUUUUCAUCCCUUAAUAUAACAGACUAAUG
Molecule: long non-coding RNA, 1122 nt
Filed under: Manihot esculenta (cassava)
Lineage: Eukaryota; Viridiplantae; Streptophyta; Magnoliopsida; Malpighiales; Euphorbiaceae
Description: long non-coding RNA (MESC_LNC000997)
Source: RNAcentral